UGCAGUCGAGCGGUAGCACAGGAAGAGCUUGCUCUCUGGGUGACGAGCGGCGGACGGGUGAGUAAUGUCUGGGAAACUGCCUGAUGGAGGGGGAUAACUACUGGAAACGGUAGCUAAUACCGCAUAACGUCUUCGGACCAAAGUGGGGGACCUUCGGGCCUCACGCCAUCAGAUGUGCCCAGAUGGGAUUAGCUAGUAGGUGGGGUAAUGGCUCACCUAGGCGACGAUCCCUAGCUGGUCUGAGAGGAUGACCAGCCACACUGGAACUGAGACACGGUCCAGACUCCUACGGGAGGCAGCAGUGGGGAAUAUUGCACAAUGGGCGCAAGCCUGAUGCAGCCAUGCCGCGUGUGUGAAGAAGGCCUUCGGGUUGUAAAGCACUUUCAGCGAGGAGGAAGGGUUCAGUGUUAAUAGCACUGUGCAUUGACGUUACUCGCAGAAGAAGCACCGGCUAACUCCGUGCCAGCAGCCGCGGUAAUACGGAGGGUGCAAGCGUUAAUCGGAAUUACUGGGCGUAAAGCGCACGCAGGCGGUUUGUUAAGUCAGAUGUGAAAUCCCCGCGCUUAACGUGGGAACUGCAUUUGAAACUGGCAAGCUAGAGUCUUGUAGAGGGGGGUAGAAUUCCAGGUGUAGCGGUGAAAUGCGUAGAGAUCUGGAGGAAUACCNGGUGGCGAAGGCGGCCCCCUGGACAAAGACUGACGCUCAGGUGCGAAAGCGUGGGGAGCAAACAGGAUUAGAUACCCUNGGUAGUCCACGCUGUAAACGAUGUCGACUUGGAGGUUGUGCCCUUGAGGCGUGGCUUCCGGAGCUAACGCGUUAAGUCGACCGCCUGGGGAGUACGGCCGCAAGGUUAAAACUCAAAUGAAUUGACGGGGGCCCGCACAAGCGGUGGAGCAUGUGGUUUAAUUCGAUGCAACGCGAAGAACCUUACCUACUCUUGACAUCCACAGAAUUCGCUAGAGAUAGCUUAGUGCCUUCGGGAACUGUGAGACAGGUGCUGCAUGGCUGUCGUCAGCUCGUGUUGUGAAAUGUUGGGUUAAGUCCCGCAACGAGCGCAACCCUUAUCCUUUGUUGCCAGCACGUAAUGGUGGGAACUCAAAGGAGACUGCCGGUGAUAAACCGGAGGAAGGUGGGGAUGACGUCAAGUCAUCAUGGCCCUUACGAGUAGGGCUACACACGUGCUACAAUGGCGUAUACAAAGAGAAGCGAACUCGCGAGAGCCAGCGGACCUCAUAAAGUACGUCGUAGUCCGGAUCGGAGUCUGCAACUCGACUCCGUGAAGUCGGAAUCGCUAGUAAUCGUAGAUCAGAAUGCUACGGUGAAUACGUUCCCGGGCCUUGUACACACCGCCCGUCACACCAUGGGAGUGGGUUGCAAAAGAAGUAGGUAGCUUAACCUUCGGGAGGGCGCUUACCA
Molecule: ribosomal RNA, 1416 nt
Filed under: Serratia sp. (in: enterobacteria)
Lineage: Bacteria; Pseudomonadati; Pseudomonadota; Gammaproteobacteria; Enterobacterales; Yersiniaceae
Description: bacterial SSU rRNA
Rfam family: Bacterial small subunit ribosomal RNA
Source: RNAcentral